AAUAAAGUGCCUGAAAAAGGAUUAUUCUGAUAGGAUAAAUAAUGUAAUUAAUUAUUACCUUUAUUA
This 66-nucleotide transfer RNA is filed under the name Caerulea coeligena. RNAcentral's name for it is "tRNA-Ile". Lineage: Eukaryota; Metazoa; Arthropoda; Insecta; Lepidoptera; Lycaenidae. The record is from RNAcentral.